ACUGCCUCUGGAAGAUAAGUUGAAUCCCCUAGGCCAGAUCUCUCAAGGAUCCUCUGCUGGAAAUUAAGAUUCUCCUCUGUAAAAGUUCCGGUCAUCCGAGAUUGAUCCAUGAAAAUCCUUUUUGUGCAUUUACGAGAUUCUGCAGGCUUGUAGCAGGAAAAGUUGACAAGGUAUACAGGCCGAGGACGAGUCAUAAAAUAGAGUGUA
RNAcentral lists this unclassified non-coding RNA (207 nucleotides) under Hevea brasiliensis (rubber tree). The record is from RNAcentral. Lineage: Eukaryota; Viridiplantae; Streptophyta; Magnoliopsida; Malpighiales; Euphorbiaceae.